This 299-nucleotide ribosomal RNA is filed under the name uncultured bacterium. RNAcentral describes it as "partial 16S ribosomal RNA". It matches the Rfam family "Bacterial small subunit ribosomal RNA", at positions 478 to 776 of the family's 1533-position model. The record is from RNAcentral.
CUAUGCGCCGUUGCCAGCCCGCUCAGGUGUGCCAGCCGCCGCGGUAAUACGGAGGAUGCGAGCGUUAUCCGGAUUUAUUGGGUUUAAAGGGUGCGUAGGCGGGCAUUUAAGCCGGCGGUCAAAUGUCGGGGCUCAACCCCGGCCUGCCGUCGGAACUGGGUGCCUUGAGUGGGCGAGAAGUAUGCGGAAUGCGUGGUGUAGCGGUGAAAUGCAUAGAUAUCACGCAGAACCCCGAUUGCGAAGGCAGCAUACCGGCGCCCUACUGACGCUGAGGCACGAAAGCGUGGGUAUCGAACAGG